AACAAAACUCUGCCAGCACAAGAGUUGACAAGGGGGUGAAUCUGCUCUUUCUUAGCUCAGGGCAACAUAAGCAGCUUUGGAAAGAGAUUUCCUCAGAGAUAAAUUCCUCAACAAUCAGAUUUGCCAAUUAAGGCUGUUUUCACCUUCCAAUGACCAAUCACAAAACAAAGAAAGCUGAAUGCAAGAGAUAUAGGUCCAGGCAAUGGUGCAAGAUUUUUUUUUACUGCCCUUUGGAUUUAGAAGAAAGAAGGGAAGCAGAGAUGUGUAUGAACUGCCUGUUGGCUAUGCUGCAGCUGAAUCCUCCCAAUGAUUUCCCUUGGUAGUUUCCUGUUAAAACAUGCAUAGAACCAGAUGGAACUUUGUGACAUUUAGGGGUGUGCAAGAAAUUAAAUCCCUAAUUACCAUUAAUUAAGUAAUUAAUUACGUAAUUUGUAUUUACAAACCCAACAUAUGAACAAGAAUGAA
Non-coding RNA from Pogona vitticeps (central bearded dragon), 465 nucleotides. Lineage: Eukaryota; Metazoa; Chordata; Lepidosauria; Squamata; Agamidae. The record is from RefSeq and is a predicted model, not a curated record.